Osmerus eperlanus (European smelt) is the source of this 1673-nucleotide long non-coding RNA. RefSeq lists it as uncharacterized. The transcript has 3 exons. The record is from RefSeq and is a predicted model, not a curated record. Lineage: Eukaryota; Metazoa; Chordata; Actinopteri; Osmeriformes; Osmeridae.
UGGACUGCACUUUAGAACAACACAAUCCAAAAACAACAGCACCACAAGUGAAGGAACCAGAAGAUACUUCAGGUCCAGGCUUGUGUUCUACACGACUGGAUGCCACACCUUAUCAUCUGGACUGUUCUACACCUCUAUAUUGACCUCUGUUUGACCUAUAUAGUGUCUUUAUGGUGACCUCUGUGUGACCUCAAUAGCCGGAGUGGUAACCACUGUGUUGCACGUUCACCCAUCCUGUCCUGCCAGAGCAGUCACAUGGCCUCCUGACCCCUCCCACUUCGCCGACUUUUGUAUGUGUGUGUGUGUGUGUGUGUGUCGGUUGGUCUGUGUGUCUGUCUGUCUGAGGUAAUGUAAGAGGUGCCAAACUAAGGUUGUGACACCACAAUUGGAACAAUGUCACACAAGGACCGUGGUCUCUGUGAUGUAUACAUACACACCGUCUGAUGUAGACAUGACUGAAAAGAACAGAUAUAUUUUUGACAGCUGGGAGGGGGAGACACUAGAAUCUCAGAGAAGUUAGAGGAGGAACUAAAGGAUAUUACUUGACUACAUGUGAACCUGUAAGAAUACUGUGCUGUUUAACCUGAAUCACACUAUGAAUAUAUCACAUUCCUCUUCUCCUCCGCCUCCCUUCCACUCCGCACCUUCUUUCACCUGGGGAACUGGAACACCUGGGCUGAGGCAACUGUGUGUGAGCUUGGUGUGUGUGUGUGAAGUGUAGGUAUGUGUGUGUGUGUGUGUGUGUGCGUGAGAGGUGUGUGUAUGAGGUGUGUUUGAUCUUCCAUGAGCACCUCUGCACCGAGCAGGCACCGAUCAGCUCCUCUCUUCCUCAGCAGUGUGCCUGCGGCCGCGUCUCAAUCCUCUCCCCCUCCUUCCUCCCCUCCUCUCUGGUCCAGCCCUGGGAUGUGCUCUCAUCACAGGGUCCUAGGACGAUGGUAGGAUGGUAGUGGGUCCUCCAGGAACAGACCAGACUAGAUGAUUUACGAGACCCCGCUCCUCUAGGAUCAGACCAGACUAGACAAUAGUAGAGUAUAAGUGCAGCAGUGGGUGGCCAGGAAGGAGAUGGAGAUUCUACUUCCUGUUCUGGUGGACAGGCUCACUGACAUCAGCCCAUUCUGGGAAAACUCCCACCAACAAUAAACACAAUAAAGCCCUCCUCAUGUCCAGAUGUGGUGAACAUCAGAGACCAGCAGGGUCCAGCAGUGUCCGGCAGGACCACUACAGUUCACUGGUUUCCUGGUCCAGUCCAGAGAGAGAUGACUCCAUCAGACAGCAGUCCAGCCUCACCCCGCCUCCUCCCAAUCCAUCCUGUCUGAAGAGUGUGCUUGAUAAGAAGGAAUAAGGGGGAAGUACUUCUGAUGAGAACCAUUCUUCUCCUGCUCUUCCACAUCUCCCUCCUUCCUUCCAUCCUCUUUCAUUCCUAUCCUGGCUCCCUCCUCUCCUCACUCCUUUCUUCCCUCCUUCCCUCUCUCAAUCCCUAUCUUCCCCCUUCCCUCCUUCUGCCUCUAAUACUCUCACUCCCUCCUUCCCUCCCUCCCUCCCUUUCUCCUUCCCUCCCUCCUCCAUUUUCAUAUUCUCUUUGAUUUAUGCACUGUGGUUUGGUCACCCGUAACCUUGUCAUCGUGAGCGGUGAUAUAGGGCCUUGUUAAUGUUCCUCGGCUGAUCUGGCACGG